This 459-nucleotide ribosomal RNA is filed under the name uncultured bacterium. Its description in RNAcentral is "partial 16S ribosomal RNA". It matches the Rfam family "Bacterial small subunit ribosomal RNA", at positions 338 to 795 of the family's 1533-position model. The record is from RNAcentral.
CCUACGGGUGGCAGCAGUGAGGAAUAUUGGUCAAUGGCCGGAAGGCUGAACCAGCCAAGCCGCGUGAGGGACGAAGGUGCCAAGCAUUGUAAACUUCUUUUGUCAAGGGACAAAAUCAGGCUCGUGAGCCUGAACGAGGGUCCUUGUAGACAAAGCAUCGGCUAACUCCGGGCCAGCAGCCGCGGUAAUCCGGGGGAUUCGGGCGUUAUCCGGUUUUAUGGGGGUUAAGGGGUACGUAGGGGGACUGUUAAGUCAGCGGGAAAAGCACGGGGGUCAACCCCGGAGAGCUGUGGAAACUGGCCGGCUUGAGAGGUGGAGAGGUAUGCGGAAUGCGCAGUGUAGCGGUGAAAUGCGUAGAUAUUGCGCAGAACGCCGAUUGCGAAGGCAGCAUACCGGCGGGGAUCUGACGCUGAGGCACGAAAGCGUGGGUAUCGAACAGGAUUAGAUACCCGAGUAGUC